This 497-nucleotide ribosomal RNA is filed under the name uncultured bacterium. Its description in RNAcentral is "partial 16S ribosomal RNA". It matches the Rfam family "Bacterial small subunit ribosomal RNA", at positions 28 to 507 of the family's 1533-position model. The record is from RNAcentral.
GAUGAACGCUGGCGGCGUGCCUAAUACAUGCAAGUCGAGCGAACAGACGAGGAGCUUGCUCCUCUGACGUUAGCGGCGGACGGGUGAGUAACACGUGGAUAACCUACCUAUAAGACUGGGAUAACUUCGGGAAACCGGAGCUAAUACCGGAUAAUAUAUUGAACCGCAUGGUUCAAUAGUGAAAGACGGUUUUGCUGUCACUUAUAGAUGGAUCCGCGCCGCAUUAGCUAGUUGGUAAGGUAACGGCUUACCAAGGCAACGAUGCGUAGCCGACCUGGGAGGGUGAUCGGCCACACUGGAACUGAGACGCGGUCCAGACUCCUACGGGAGGCAGCAGUAGGGAAUCUUCCGCAAUGGGCGAAAGCCUGACGGAGCAACGCCGCGUGAGUGAUGAAGGUCUUCGGAUCGUAAAACUCUGUUAUUAGGGAAGAACAAAUGUGUAAGUAACUAUGCACGUCUUGACGGUACCUAAUCAGAAAGCAACGGCUAACUACGUG